AUCCUCGUGGCGCAACUGGAGAGCGCAACGGAUUUCUACUCCGUGGGCUGUGGGUUCGAAUCCUACCGGGGACGCCA
This 77-nucleotide transfer RNA is filed under the name Exilibacterium tricleocarpae. RNAcentral's name for it is "Cellvibrionaceae bacterium R142 tRNA-Arg". It matches the Rfam family "tRNA". Rfam says of the family: Transfer RNA (tRNA) molecules are approximately 80 nucleotides in length. Lineage: Bacteria; Pseudomonadati; Pseudomonadota; Gammaproteobacteria; Cellvibrionales; Cellvibrionaceae. The record is from RNAcentral.